CCUACGGGAGGCAGCAGUAGGGAAUUUUGCACAAUGGGCGAAAGCCUGACGCAGCAACGCCGCGUGAUCGAGACGCCCUUCGGGGUGUUAAGAUCUGUCAGUGGGGGCGAAACGUGACGGUACCCACAGAGGAAGCACCGGCUAACUCCGUGCCAGCAGCCGCGGUAAUACGGGGGGCGCAAGCGUUGUCCGGAAUCAUGGGGCGUAAAGAGUUCGGAGGCGGGUCGUAAAGUCUGGUGUGAAAGGCAGAGGCUUAACUGCUGUACGGCAUUGGAUACUUGCGAGCUAGAGUGCGGUAGAGGUGAAGGGAAUUCCUGGUGUAGCGGUGAAAUGCGUAGAUAUGAGGAGGAACAUCGGUGGCGUAAGCGCUUUACUGGGCCGUAAUUGACGCUGAGGAACGAAAGCGAGGGUAGCAAAUGGGAUUAGAUACCCGUGUAGUC
This 440-nucleotide ribosomal RNA is filed under the name uncultured bacterium. RNAcentral describes it as "partial 16S ribosomal RNA". It matches the Rfam family "Bacterial small subunit ribosomal RNA", at positions 338 to 795 of the family's 1533-position model. The record is from RNAcentral.